UACGUAUGGAGCAAGCGUUAUCCGGAUUUACUGGGUGUAAAGGGAGUGUAGGUGGCCAGGCAAGUCAGAAGUGAAAGCCCGGGGCUCAACCCCGGGACUGCUUUUGAAACUGCAGGGCUAGAGUGCAGGAGGGGCAAGUGGAAUUCCUAGUGUAGCGGUGAAAUGCGUAGAUAUUAGGAGGAACACCAGUGGCGAAGGCGGCUUGCUGGACUGUAACUGACACUGAGGCUCGAAAGCGUGGGGAGCAAACAGGAUUAGAUACCCUGGUAGCCGCUUGACU
Molecule: ribosomal RNA, 280 nt
Filed under: [Lactobacillus] rogosae
Lineage: Bacteria; Bacillati; Bacillota; Clostridia; Lachnospirales; Lachnospiraceae
Description: Lactobacillus rogosae partial 16S ribosomal RNA
Rfam family: Bacterial small subunit ribosomal RNA
Source: RNAcentral